CUUGAAUAUCUAUAAGAGGUCCAGCCUGCCCAGUGACUUUGUUCAACGGCCGCGGUAUCCUAACCGUGCGAAGGUAGCGUAAUCACUUGUCUUUUAAAUGGGGACUUGUAUGAAUGGCAUCACGAGGGUUAUACUGUCUCCUUUUUCUAAUCAGUGAAACUAAUCUUCCCGUGAAGAAGCGGGAAUAAACAUAUAAGACGAGAAGACCCUAUGGAGCUUUAAACUCAAUAACAAAUACUGACCUUACAUCAACUUUCAGAAAAUCAACCUUAAUUUUAGUAUUAUGAUUGUUAGUUUUAGGUUGGGGUGACCGCGGAGUAAAAAUUAACCUCCACAUUGAACGGGACCUGUCCCUGAGCCAAGAACUACAGCUCGAAGCACCAACAAAUUGACAUUAAUUGACCCAAUAUUUUGAUCAACGAAC
This 424-nucleotide ribosomal RNA is filed under the name Osteocephalus taurinus group sp. ABGD cluster 12. RNAcentral's name for it is "partial large subunit ribosomal RNA". It matches the Rfam family "Bacterial large subunit ribosomal RNA", at positions 1834 to 2439 of the family's 2925-position model. Lineage: Eukaryota; Metazoa; Chordata; Amphibia; Anura; Hylidae. The record is from RNAcentral.